CCUACGGGAGGCUGCAGUGGGGAAUAUUGGACAAUGGGCGAAAGCCUGAUCCAGCCAUGCCGCGUGUGUGAAGAAGGCCUUCGGGUUGUAAAGCACUUUCAGUGGGGAAGAAAGCCUUGGGGCUAAUACCCUCGAGGAAGGACAUCACCCACAGAAGAAGCACCGGCUAACUCCGUGCCAGCAGCCGCGGUAAUACGGAGGGUGCGAGCGUUAAUCGGAAUUACUGGGCGUAAAGCGCGCGUAGGCGGUCUGAUAAGCCGGCUGUGAAAGCCCCGGGCUCAACCUGGGAACGGCAUCCGGAACUGUCAGGCUAGAGUGCAGGAGAGGAAGGUAGAAUUCCCGGUGUAGCGGUGAAAUGCGUAGAGAUCGGGAGGAAUACCAGUGGCGAAGGCGGCCUUCUGGACUGACACUGACGCUGAGGUGCGAAAGCGUGGGUAGCAAACAGGAUUAGAUACCCCAGUAGUC
This 465-nucleotide ribosomal RNA is filed under the name Vreelandella stevensii. RNAcentral's name for it is "partial 16S ribosomal RNA". It matches the Rfam family "Bacterial small subunit ribosomal RNA", at positions 338 to 795 of the family's 1533-position model. The record is from RNAcentral. Lineage: Bacteria; Pseudomonadati; Pseudomonadota; Gammaproteobacteria; Oceanospirillales; Halomonadaceae.